This 211-nucleotide unclassified non-coding RNA is filed under the name Hevea brasiliensis (rubber tree). The record is from RNAcentral. Lineage: Eukaryota; Viridiplantae; Streptophyta; Magnoliopsida; Malpighiales; Euphorbiaceae.
GAAAUAUUACAUUGACAUAGUCGAAACGAAGCCAUCCAAUGCAAUAAGCAUCAUCGAGACAGAUUGUGAGGUGGAUUUUGCACCUCCCCUGGAUUACAAGGAACCGGAAAAGGCUGUUGCACCAAUCAAGGGGAAGGAGCAAGUUGUAGAAGCUCCAGAUGCCGAAGCCGAAGCGAAAUUUAGCGCUUUCACAGGAACAGGAAGACGUUUG